Long non-coding RNA from Carassius auratus (goldfish), 1483 nucleotides. RefSeq lists it as uncharacterized. The record is from RefSeq and is a predicted model, not a curated record. The transcript has 3 exons. Lineage: Eukaryota; Metazoa; Chordata; Actinopteri; Cypriniformes; Cyprinidae.
AUUAAUAUGAUUAUUAUGAAGAAAAUAUCCUGGCAAAACUAUCAAAUAAAAAAUGUGUUAACUGAAGUGGGUGUGUGCUUUUUUUACAAUGUUAAAAUACUUUCUCCAGUCUCAGGUUUAUACACAGAGUCAAAUACAAGUAAGUCAUCUGUAGCUUUAAUUCCGCACAGCAACAGUGGCUCAACCAAUGGUUUGAGUUUGGGGGCGGGGCUACUUGAUUAUUCAACUAAUGACAGGCAGGUGAAUCCUGUUUAAAAGCAGUCAUUCUUUCUGAAACAAUAAUGCCUCAGAAUUUGUUUAACAAACAUAAAGUGAAGGAAAUUCAGGAGGUAUUCCAACAAAAGUAUCAUAGUGUGUUUAAUGUAUAUAUUUUAAAGAGCACCACAUUGAUUUUCAGGACAAUUUUGAGUCUCCCUGUUGAGUUUAUUAUGAAAGACCCUCCUAGUCUUUGUUGUUCCUGUUACAGCUAAAGGCUACUACAAAACUGCAUUGACUAGUGCCCAAGUACUCAACAGGGACACACCUUGGGUUACGAACAAGAUGCUGAACCAAGUUUUUUCUCGGCAUGUAAUCGAGCAUUCCAUUUGUACACGGAAUUCAGAAGUUCCCAGUCGGAGUUCUGAUUCUGAAACUUCAAGGCACAGCAACAAAACCAAUUUCAGAAUCCAAAAUGUCUGCUCAUUGCAUCAAAAGUCAAGGCAGGGCAAAGAAGAGUUUGAACUGAAUGUUCCCAACCAUGCAGAGCAACAGGUGAGAAGAGACUAGCUACAUGCUGAUGAGAGUUAUCACAACCAGUGAAGGGUAAUAAAGAACCAUGUCGGCAUGACAAACUGACCACAAAUCCCCCAAACCAUUCUCAUAUAACAGGCUUUAUCCAAACACACACAUAUUGCGUCAGGCACUUAAAAUACAGGUUUGCGUACAGCCACAGGAUAACUGGCAGUAUCUGCUCAUGUUAUAGACUUGAUGAAGACCAACAUAGAUCUUGCAAGCCUCCAGCCAACAGUUCAAUCUGAUAAAUGCAUGCUUGUGUUUCAGUAUUAAAGUCCAGUUUGCUUUGCAACAACUUUUGGCAGGGUGUAUGUGAGAGGAAGAUGUGCAGAACAGAAGUAGGUCACAUGUGUUCAACAUGAUUGAUGACAACUAAAAAUAUCAUCUUCCAGCCAAAGAAAAGAGAGAGGGAUUUUUAGCAGGAUUUCAGACGAGAUGAGUAGCUACACUGUUAACCUCUGAUACAAUCAAAGUAUGAUGAAAUGCUUACCAUUUAAACUUUAAAGCUGUGAUUGGCACAAAAAUCUCUCUCUCUCUCUAUUAAAUACAGACAUUGGAAAAUAAAUGUAAAGCAUAAAUAGUCUAUAUGUGUAGUCACGGAUGAAAUCAGUAUCAGUUAAAAAAAAACAUGCAUAGUUUGAAGAAAUAAAGUAAUAUAGGUGACUAGAUAAACCUCUCUGGGUCGCCAGACAUAACCUUACAGAAAUGUCUG